RNAcentral lists this ribosomal RNA (832 nucleotides) under Micrococcus sp. 66 TW. Its description in RNAcentral is "bacterial SSU rRNA". It matches the Rfam family "Bacterial small subunit ribosomal RNA", at positions 543 to 1371 of the family's 1533-position model. Lineage: Bacteria; Bacillati; Actinomycetota; Actinomycetes; Micrococcales; Micrococcaceae. The record is from RNAcentral.
UUCCGGAAUUAUUGGGCGUAAAGAGCUCGUAGGCGGUUUGUCGCGUCUGUCGUGAAAGUCCGGGGCUUAACCCCGGAUCUGCGGUGGGUACGGGCAGACUAGAGUGCAGUAGGGGAGACUGGAAUUCCUGGUGUAGCGGUGGAAUGCGCAGAUAUCAGGAGGAACACCGAUGGCGAAGGCAGGUCUCUGGGCUGUAACUGACGCUGAGGAGCGAAAGCAUGGGGAGCGAACAGGAUUAGAUACCCUGGUAGUCCAUGCCGUAAACGUUGGGCACUAGGUGUGGGGACCAUUCCACGGUUUCCGCGCCGCAGCUAACGCAUUAAGUGCCCCGCCUGGGGAGUACGGCCGCAAGGCUAAAACUCAAAGGAAUUGACGGGGGCCCGCACAAGCGGCGGAGCAUGCGGAUUAAUUCGAUGCAACGCGAAGAACCUUACCAAGGCUUGACAUGUUCUCGAUCGCCGUAGAGAUACGGUUUCCCCUUUGGGGCGGGUUCACAGGUGGUGCAUGGUUGUCGUCAGCUCGUGUCGUGAGAUGUUGGGUUAAGUCCCGCAACGAGCGCAACCCUCGUUCCAUGUUGCCAGCACGUAAUGGUGGGGACUCAUGGGAGACUGCCGGGGUCAACUCGGAGGAAGGUGAGGACGACGUCAAAUCAUCAUGCCCCUUAUGUCUUGGGCUUCACGCAUGCUACAAUGGCCGGUACAAUGGGUUGCGAUACUGUGAGGUGGAGCUAAUCCCAAAAAGCCGGUCUCAGUUCGGAUUGGGGUCUGCAACUCGACCCCAUGAAGUCGGAGUCGCUAGUAAUCGCAGAUCAGCAACGCUGCGGUGAAUACGU